Molecule: ribosomal RNA, 542 nt
Filed under: uncultured bacterium
Lineage: Bacteria
Description: bacterial SSU rRNA
Rfam family: Bacterial small subunit ribosomal RNA
Source: RNAcentral
AAUAGAUACCCUGGUAGUCCACGCCGUAAACGAUGAGUGCUAAGUGUUAGGGGGUUUCCGCCCCUUAGUGCUGCAGCUAACGCAUUAAGCACUCCGCCUGGGGAGUACGGUCGCAAGACUGAAACUCAAAGGAAUUGACGGGGGCCCGCACAAGCGGUGGAGCAUGUGGUUUAAUUCGAGGCAACGCGAAGAACCUUACCAGGUCUUGACAUCCCAUUGACCGCUAUGGAGACAUAGCUUUCCCUUCGGGGACAGUGGUGACAGGUGGUGCAUGGUUGUAGUCAGCUCGUGUCGUGAGAUGUUGGGUUAAGUCCCGCAAUGAGCGCAACCCUUGUUCUUAGUUGCCAUCAUUUAGUUGGGCACUCUAAGGAGACUGCCGGUGACAAACCGGAGGAAGGUGGGGAUGACGUCAAAUCAUCAUGCCCCUUAUGACCUGGGCUACACACGUGCUACAAUGGACGGUACAAACGGUUGCCAACCCGCGAGGGGAGCUAAUCCGAUAAAACCGUUCUCAGUUCGGAUUGUAGGCUGCAACUCGCCUA